Molecule: ribosomal RNA, 497 nt
Filed under: uncultured bacterium
Lineage: Bacteria
Description: partial 16S ribosomal RNA
Rfam family: Bacterial small subunit ribosomal RNA
Source: RNAcentral
GAUGAACGCUGGCGGCGUGCCUAAUACAUGCAAGUCGAGCGAACAGACGAGGAGCUUGCUCCUUUGACGUUAGCGGCGGACGGGUGAGUAACACGUGGAUAACCUACCUAUAAGACUGGGAUAACUUCGGGAAACCGGAGCUAAUACCGGAUAAUAUUUCGAACCGCAUGGUUCGAUAGUGAAAGAUGGCUUUGCUAUCACUUAUAGAUGGACCUGCGCCGUAUUGGCUAGUUGGUAGGGUAACGGCUUACCAAGGCAACGAUACGUAGCCGACCUGAGAGGGUGAUCGGCCACACUGGAACUGAGACACGGUCCAGACGCCUACGGGAGGCAGCAGUAGGGAAUCUUCCGCAAUGGGCGAAAGCCUGACGGAGCAACGCCGCGUGAGUGAUGAAGGUCUUCGGAUCGUAAAACUCUGUUAUUAGGGAAGAACAAACGUGUAAGUAACUGUGCACGUCUUGACGGUACCUAAUCAGAAAGCCACGGCUAACUACGUG